UUACAUGCGCACCUGGCAGAUAAGCAUGGGUAUAAAAUGUUUGGGCUUAGCUUUGCUUGGGUCCUCAACAUACAAACAGCUCAUUGUUCAACCCUAAAGACGCAACUGGUUUCUCUCUUCUUCACCUCCGCUUCUUUGUCACUGACUUCACACCUCUAGAUGGCCGGGUAGGUGUGGAGCCGGAGACAGCAGGGAUCCGGCUGGAUGAACCAGCUUCAGAGGGAGAUGGACACCUAGACAUUGGCGGCUCAUAAUCAGAAUCACUGCCAAUCCCCCACUCCAACAUCCAAAGCAUCGGCCUCCACCACAAACUGACAGGACGGGUGAGGAUGAACCAAAAUGGGAGCUGUGGUGAAGUGGUGCUUGAGGUCCCGGAACUCCCGGUCAGCAGCUGGGGACCACGUGAACGUAACCUUGGAAGAGACCCAGCACCAAUCCAGAUCCCGGUUUCCAGCAACAGACCACCAGACAAGGCAGAGGGACCAAACACCAGACCUUCACCCGGAGCGAGCAGUCCACAGGGGAGUGCCACAAUUGACCUCCGGUUCUAGGUCUCCCUUGCAGGUCUGCUUGCUCCUCAGGUUGUCCUUCCUCCCAUCUGCAGACCCAGCACCAACCCCUGGUUUGCCAGCCCUGGUAUCAGCAUGAUCUCUAACCCAGGUUAUCCCAGUACCAGUCCCAACACCAGCACCAACCCUGGACACAGCCCAGACCAACCACAACUGCCACCUUCAUCCAGCAACUGCCAGCUCAGACCCCACCCCUCCCCCUACCUCACACAAAGACACAAACACACCAUCAACCACUCCACCAGAACAAACCUGACUGACAAAUGGACAGACUGAUGAUUGUUAUUUGUACAAAUGCAUUUGUUUGUUGUUUAUUAGUAAAAGUUUGUUUUUCUUUUGAUUUGAUUAAUUUAAGUUGGCUUGAUUAUUUAUUGGUUGAAUUGUUUUGUAUUUUUUAAGUUGAAUUACAUUUGAUUAGAAACCUUGCCUAGGAGUGUGAAGGUGAACGGAAAAGCACUGGCGCAAUGAACCACCCUUGAUCUCUCUGCCUGGCCGGUUCACCUGUCGCCACUGGGAUUCUCUGCCUCAAACCCUAUUACAUGGGCUGAGUCACUGGCUUACUGGUGCUCUUCCAUGCCAUCCCUAGGAGGGGUGCGUCACUUGAGUGGGUUGAGUCACUGAGGUGAUCUUCCUGUCCAGGUUUUAUUAAUAAAAAAAUACAAUUUUCCUACCACUUUGACAUUACAUAAUAUUUUGGGUUACAAAAAAUGACAAAUCAAUUUUGAUCCUCCUCUACAAUAAAAACAUGAAG
This is a non-coding RNA of Oncorhynchus mykiss (rainbow trout), 1320 nucleotides long. The record is from RefSeq and is a predicted model, not a curated record. NCBI's taxonomy places the organism in Eukaryota, Metazoa, Chordata, Actinopteri, Salmoniformes, Salmonidae.